UACGAGGGGUGCAAGCGUUAUUCGGAUUAAUUGGGCGUAAAGGGUGCGCAGACGGUUUGUUAAGUCACUUGUUAAAUUCUUCGGCCUAACUGAAGGUGUGCGAGUGAUACUGGCGAACUAGAGGGUGGAAGAGAGAAGUGGAAUUCUCGGAGUAGCGGUAAAAUGCGUAGAUCUCGAGAGGAACACCAAUGGCGAAGGCAGCUUCUUGGUCCAUUCCUGACGUUCAUGCACGAAAGCGUGGGGAGCAAACAGG
RNAcentral lists this ribosomal RNA (253 nucleotides) under uncultured bacterium. RNAcentral's name for it is "partial 16S ribosomal RNA". It matches the Rfam family "Bacterial small subunit ribosomal RNA", at positions 524 to 776 of the family's 1533-position model. The record is from RNAcentral.